Molecule: ribosomal RNA, 376 nt
Filed under: uncultured bacterium
Lineage: Bacteria
Description: bacterial SSU rRNA
Rfam family: Bacterial small subunit ribosomal RNA
Source: RNAcentral
GACGGAGGCCCCGAGCGUUGUUCGGAAUUACUGGGCUUAAAGCGCGUGUAGGCGGAACGGUAAGUACUUUGUGAAAGCCCCGGCUUCAACCCGGGAAUUGCUUGGUAUACUGCCGUUCUUGAGGCAGGUAGGGGUCACUGGAACCUUAGGUGGAGCGGUGAAAUGCGUAGAUAUCUAAGGGAACGCCUGUGGCGAAAGCGGGUGACUGGGCCUGUCCUGACGCUGAGACGCGAAAGCGUAGGGAGCAAACUGGAUUAGAUACCCCGGUAGUCUACGCUGUAAACGAUGCGCACUAGGUUCGAGAGUCUCUGACGAUUUUCGAGCCGAAACAAAAGCGUUAAGUGCGCCGCCUGGGGAGUACGGCCGCAAGGCUAAA